GUGGGGAAUAUUGGACAAUGGGCGAAAGCCUGAUCCAGCAAUGCCGCGUGAGUGAAGAAGGCCUUCGGGUUGUAAAGCUCUUUUACCCGGGAAGAUAAUGACCGUACCGGGAGAAUAAGCCCCGGCUAACUCCGUGCCAGCAGCCGCGGUAAUACGGAGGGGGCUAGCGUUGUUCGGAAUUACUGGGCGUAAAGCGCACGUAGGCGGUCUUUUAAGUCAGAGGUGAAAGCCCGGGGCUCAACUCCGGAAUUGCCUUUGAAACUGGAAGACUUGAACACGGGAGAGGUGAGUGGAAUUCCGAGUGUAGAGGUGAAAUUCGUAGAUAUUCGGAGGAACACCAGUGGCGAAGGCGGCUCACUGGACCGUUGUUGACGCUGAGGUGCGAAAGCGUGGGGAGCAAACAGGAUUAGAAACCCGAGUAGUCC
This 425-nucleotide ribosomal RNA is filed under the name uncultured bacterium. RNAcentral describes it as "partial 16S ribosomal RNA". It matches the Rfam family "Bacterial small subunit ribosomal RNA", at positions 354 to 796 of the family's 1533-position model. The record is from RNAcentral.